RNA transcript from Prunus dulcis (almond), 2901 nucleotides. It is a transcript of the gene named FBD-associated F-box protein At5g38590-like, with no coding region annotated. The record is from RefSeq and is a predicted model, not a curated record. Lineage: Eukaryota; Viridiplantae; Streptophyta; Magnoliopsida; Rosales; Rosaceae. The transcript has 7 exons.
AAUAUUUAAGAAUUUGUUAUGAAAGUUCCUCACUCAAAAAAAGUACGAAUUUGGAUACACCUGACCCAAGUCUUCUUCUGGGGUGACUGGAACUCAGAAGAUGCCUCUUAUCAGAUCUCAUGGUCUCCAGAGCCUUCCGUAAUUCACAGAGGGCUACAGAGAACAUGAGAUCUUGUCACAGAGGGCGACGGCAUGGUCGAUCGAGGAGCUGAAAGUGGAGAGAUCUGUUUGUUUCUCUACUUGGAUUUCAAGUUUGAGAUAGAUUGAGUUUGGCUGACAAAUGAGCAUGUGACGGUAUCUAUCCAUACCCAAACACGUAUGAAAUUCCCCUUUUACCCCUCCAAACAAAAACCACAGAAGUUGAUCUUAUGAGCCGUUGAUGACUUUCCCCAUUUCCCAUUUCCCAUUUCCCUUCGCGGCUAGAGGUUGGCGUUGCAGAUAUGCCGCAUCUGUCCACCCCUCAAAUAACUUAUUUGAUUACAUUGUAACAUUUAAGAAGAGAGUAAAUUAAUAACAAGGGUGUUCCAACUUCGAUGCCGAAAAGAAAGGCUGAGCAUUCUGGAUGGACAUACAGGAAACGACAAAAGAUUCCAAUCAAUUUGGGUGAUAAGGAAGAGAAUUAUUCAGAGGACGAUCAGAUCAGUCAGCUACCAGAUGCCAUUCUAAUUAGCAUUCUUUCCCUAUUGGGUAUUGGGGAAGCAGCAAGGACUUGUGUCCUCUCUAAGAGGUGGGUCUCUCUGUGGAAACAGAUUACGUGUCUCAACUUCGAUGAUAUAGAUGCAUUAUCCAAACCACAGAAGAAAAGAAAACGAGUGAAAACAACAUCUAGUUACAAUUGGGUGAAUCAAGUCUUGCAAUUGCACCAGGGUCUAUCCUUAGAUGAAUUCCAAAUUCAUUCUUCGUCACCCGAUUCCAGUCCUAGUAGUUCUGAAAUCGACAAUUGGAUUGAAUUUGCAAUGUGGAGGAGAAUUCAAGGCCUUGAGAUAGAUUUGGAAGCAGGCAGACGGUCUCGUUUUUCUUCUCCCAGUUAUACCUUUCCAGAUAAGCCAUUUAGAAGCCCUUUUGGUAUUUCCUGCAUCAAGUCCCUUAAACACCUCUCUUUGUCCUUUGUAAAUAUAACUGGCGAACUUGUUGAACAUUUUCUAUCCUAUUGUGAACUCCUUGAGCAUCUCUGCGUUUCUUGCUCAGAUCAAUUAGUAAAUUUGAAAGUUGCUGGUUCAUCACUCCGGUUGAAGUUCCUACAAAUAAGUGAGUGUACGUCUUUAGGAUUAGUUGAGAUUUGGGCUCCUAAUCUCGUGUCAUUUAUUUAUAAGGGAAUGUUGGGUUUUUGUGACAGUAUUCGUUUGAGGCAUGCACCCUUGCUUGUUAAUGUAUCUCUUGCAGAAAGUACUAGGUCUAUAAUUGCACCUUUUCUUUCGGUUAAAAGUUGUAUUCCUCAGCUGGUGACUCUCAACUUGCACAUGAAUCUGAAUUCGAGAGGAGGGGUGUGGCUCCCAGAAUUUCCAGAAUUUACUUGUCUCAAGGACUUGUCAUUGAGUGUUAUCGCAACUGAUCGGCUAAGCCUCCUUGCUUUGACUAAAUUGAUAGAGCGGUCUCCUUUCUUGCAUGGAUUUACAUUGAAGUUAAGAUGGGUACGCAACUCGUGUCAGAGGAAUAUGCAGAAGGUUAAUAAAUGUCCUCAUCAGUGCCUUAAGGUGGUGAAAUUUUCUGGGUUCGUUGGGUCUAUUAUCGACACUGAGCUUGCCACGUACUUCACUGAGAAUGCCGUUGCGCUUGAGACGUUUAUCAUCGAUCUCAAAAAGGUUGUCGUUGAAGAAUCCACUCCAUUGUCUGAAUUUGUUACAACCCAGAAAAAAAUGAGGGCAACAAGAAAGCGGGCCUUGCAGAUUGGAGAAAAACUACCGCCAGGAGCUGAGUUAAUUGUUGUGUGAUUUCACUUGUUUAGUCCUCUUUGCUACAGACUUUUUGCAGCAUGUAAUUUGCUAUUAUUUAUUUCUGACAUAUUCAGAAAUUGAAAUAAUAUAUGGUCGUGAUGACCAAUUAUUGUUGGAGAAGACGUGGAAAUCUUCACUAUUACGGUCUGUAAUCUUAAGUCUCAAGUUUGAAACCUACUUUUCAUUUACUUCUUGUUAUUACUGGCUUCCAUCUACUCUUUAAGUUGUUGGGGUCUCCUCCAAUCAAAGAAGCACUUGAUUGCGUUGGAUGUGAUGCUGGAGCUACAAAUCCUUCCAUCUUCAGAGCGAGCAAAAUGGAGGGGAGUGGCUCCCAGAAUUUCCAGAAUUAACUAGUCUCAAGGACUUAUCAUUGAGUGUUAUUGCAACUGAUCGGCUAAGCCUCCUCUUUUUGACUAAAUUGAUAGAGCGGUCUCCUUUCUUGCAUGGAUUUACAUUGAAGUUAGGAUGGGCACGCGACUCGUGUAAGAGCAAUAUGCAGAAGGUUAAUAAAUGUCCUCAUCAGUGCCUUAAGGUGGUGAAAUUUUCUGGGUUCGUUGGGUCUAUUAUCGACACUGAUCUUGCCAUGUACUUCACUGAGAAUGCCGUUGCACUUGAAACGUUUAUCGUCAAUCUCAAAAAGGUUGUCGUUGAAGAAUCCGCUCUAUUGUCUGAAUUUGUUACAACCCAGAAAAAAUUGAGGGCAACAAGAAAGCGGGCCUUGCAGAUUGGAGGAAAACUACCUCCAGGAGCUGAGUUAGUUAUUGUGUGAUUUCACUUGUUUAGUCCUCUUUGCUACAGACUUUUUGCGGCAUGUAAUUUGCUACUAUUUAUUUCUGACAUUUUCCGAAAUAAUGUUUGUGUGGUGAACAAGGAUGACAGUUUUGGUACUUGAUUGAUUUCUUGCAAUAUGUAGAUUCUUGAAUGAGUUGGAGUUGGAGACAAAAUGAGAAAGGACAUGUCAUUUGCA